This 744-nucleotide ribosomal RNA is filed under the name Pseudomonas sp. LBC1. Its description in RNAcentral is "bacterial SSU rRNA". It matches the Rfam family "Bacterial small subunit ribosomal RNA", at positions 30 to 778 of the family's 1533-position model. The record is from RNAcentral. Lineage: Bacteria; Pseudomonadati; Pseudomonadota; Gammaproteobacteria; Pseudomonadales; Pseudomonadaceae.
UGAACGCUGGCGGCAUGCCUUACACAUGCAAGUCGAACGGUAACAGGUCUUCGGAUGCUGACGAGUGGCGAACGGGUGAGUAAUGCAUCGGAACGUGCCCAGUCGUGGGGGAUAACUGCUCGAAAGAGCAGCUAAUACCGCAUACGACCUGAGGGUGAAAGCGGGGGACCGUAAGGCCUCGCGCGAUUGGAGCGGCCGAUGUCAGAUUAGGUAGUUGGUGGGGUAAAGGCUCACCAAGCCAACGAUCUGUAGCUGGUCUGAGAGGACGACCAGCCACACUGGGACUGAGACACGGCCCAGACUCCUACGGGAGGCAGCAGUGGGGAAUUUUGGACAAUGGGCGCAAGCCUGAUCCAGCCAUGCCGCGUGCGGGAAGAAGGCCUUCGGGUUGUAAACCGCUUUUGUCAGGGAAGAAAAGGCUCCUGCUAAUACCGGGGGUUCAUGACGGUACCUGAAGAAUAAGCACCGGCUAACUACGUGCCAGCAGCCGCGGUAAUACGUAGGGUGCAAGCGUUAAUCGGAAUUACUGGGCGUAAAGCGUGCGCAGGCGGUUAUGCAAGACAGAGGUGAAAUCCCCGGGCUCAACCUGGGAACUGCCUUUGUGACUGCAUAGCUAGAGUACGGCAGAGGGGGAUGGAAUUCCACGUGUAGCAGUGAAAUGCGUAGAUAUGUGGAGGAACACCGAUGGCGAAGGCAAUCCCCUGGGCCUGUACUGACGCUCAUGCACGUAGUAGCUUUCCGGUG